UGUUUGAUGGUCUGAGAGAAGAAAGAGAGCAGCAGAUGAAGCUAAAUGUAGUAAAUGACUUGUACCGAGGUCCGUGAGAGAGUACGCAGCGUUAUUUAUGGUAUGAUCGAAUAAGCUAUGGUCCGGAGGUGUUAAAGAAGCUCCAGCACCGGGAAAAAGAGCGUUAAAGAAUGGAUGGGCACGGUGUUCGCCGCUCAAAAAAGUCAUGGAUCUUUCCUUCUUUGUUUCUCUCCCACACCUUGGCUAUAUAUAUAUAUUUACACACACACGCACAGAAAAAAGAAAAAAAACUCUCUUUCCCUCAGGAUCAGGAGUGAGAGAACGGGAAACCUUCCGUUUAACUAUGAGACUGCCGUGCAUUUUUGUGCUGCAGAGAGCUAUCAAUAUUUAGAAAUGUUGAGCGAUUGUGCGAGAGCUCUCGGUUUCAGAGNNNNNNNNNNNNNNNNNNNNNNNNNNNNNNNNNNNNNNNNNNNNNNNNNNNNNNNNNNNNNNNNNNNNNNNNNNNNNNNNNNNNNNNNNNNNNNNNNNNNNNNNNNNNNNNNNNNNNNNNNNNNNNNNNNNNNNNNNNNNNNNNNNNNNNNNNNNNNNNNNNNNNNNNNNNNNNNNNNNNNNNNNNNNNNNNNNNNNNNNNNNNNNNNNNNNNNNNNNNNNNNNNNNNNNNNNNNNNNNNNNNNNNNNNNNNNNNNNNNNNNNNNNNNNNNNNNNNNNNNNNNNNNNNNNNNNNNNNNNNNNNNNNNNNNAUAUAUAUAUAUAUAUAUAUAUAUAUAAAGGAGGGGGCAACGGAGAGAGGAGGAAAAAUACAUACACUAGUUGCUUAUGUACUGGUGUUUUUGUUGAAGUGAAGGCGGCUGUUGCUGCAGCAUAAAAUGGAGAAGGUAUAGCAUAAACUAUGCAGUAGAAUAACAAAUAAAUAAAUAAUUUUUACUAAUCUCCGCUCAUUGCUGUUCAAGCAAGAAGAUGUCAUACGAGAGAGAGAGAGAAGAGAUCCGAAUCUUCUAACCUAUGCAGGACUUGAGUGUCUGAGGUGAUGGAUCCACAGACUAUUUAUAAUACUAGGUUAGGGCUUUGUAUCCUUAUCAAUAAGAUUUAUUUAUAACAGUUUCCAUCCAUCACAGAAACUACUAGAUAAAUUAAAUUUUAUAAUCUCUUUAUUUGAUUGGAUUUAAUCACCAUUUAAACGAGGUUGUAUUUAUAUUGAUGUGGAAAAAAUUGAUCAAGUGGGCUAUAUCAAGUCUCUUAAAAUUAGAAGACGUGCUAACAUAAUAAAAUUAAAAGUGGAAACUUACGUGAUGGACACCAUCUAGGAUAGAAAAUAUUGUUCCGAAAUUAACGAUGUGGUGACGAAGGCUAAAGCCAGCAAGUUCGUAACUCCCUUAAUCAAGAAAACACCCACUCGGUGAAAUAGAAGAAAAAGGUGCGAGAGAAGCCAAUUGCAAAUUUGCCCCAAAUCACCCUCCAAUCCGGAGAUGGGACAGGGACGGUGCAUAAGUAUUCUGCUGGGCCAAAUGCAAGGGCGAAUCAACUCUCUCUCCGAUAUAAGAUUCCAACUUUAUGAGCAUGCGACACCACCACCUUGGCACCUGUGGGAGUUUUGAGGCCACUCGAGGGAGCAUAAAUGCUCCCCCAUCAUGUCAUGACUCAUGACCCAUCCAAAUGGCAGGACUUUUCUUCUACAAGACCAAUUCAUGUUUGACAUGUUAGUUUGUGAGGCUGGAGAGUUGAGCUGCUCUUCUAGUGGAGAACGGUGGCUUGUUAGGGUUGUUUGCUUCUCUAUUUAUAUAUUUGGUAAUGGAGGUCCAUGUCGUCAACACGACUACGAUAACCUUUCCCCAUACAAUCCCAAUGCUGUUUAAUCUUGGUAAAGACCGCAUAUAUUGAUACAACUACUAGAGACUUUACCAACUUUAUCAACUAGUAUUUUAUCCAGUUUGUUGGUCAAAAUGCCUAAUUAUUAUCAUUGAAGGGGAUAGAAAGAGAGACCCACUGCACUAUAUAACCAAGAUUCCAAUACUUAGAGAUGCGCCAUCCAGAUUUCAAAUCCAGAAAAUGCCUGUUAUUAUAACUUCUUAUUAUUACAAGGAAGUUUAAGAAGGUGAGAGAAAAAUAUAUGUUAAAAGUUAUGGUAGCAUUGGGACGCCUAGAGAUCCAACUAGAGGAUAAUUUUUUGAAGGUUGAACUAGAGAAAAAUAAAGAAGGGAUGGCUUUGACUAUGCCACAACCAAGCUAAACUAGGUUAUUUCUAUGACAGUCUAAAACCUCACCCAAAAAAAUUAGCUAAGAAAGUAUGAUUUAGAUUUUUUGGCUUUGUAUAAUAUCCAAAUUCUACAUGUCAUCAUACCAAAUGGAGUCCGUACUAUAGUACCCUUUAGUCCAUAUAGGACAUGGAUAGAAUUCACUCUAAAUACUAUUUAUAACAAUUCAUGAUCUUACUGGAAAAGGCUAGCCGAUAAAGUGUUAUUUGAAUUCUUUGAUCUAUAUAAGUACUCCAAAUCUAUCCAAUAUAUAGGCAAUAUAGGACUAAAUAAAGACAUGCAAGGACCUUGCAAUUUCCCCAAGAAUUAGAGUAAACUGUCAUUAGCAAGUGCAAUAAAGUGUUAUUUGAGUUUUUUAUGAACCCCCACAUCACCACAAUGCUAGAAGGUACAAAUCACUUCAGUCCGUCCGUUCUGAGUCUCGAUCUGAGUUAUUAUUUAUAUUUAAUCAAGAAGGAGAUUUUAUUUUUCGGCUCCAGGCGUGUUAAAGGAUGAAGUUAACAAGGGCCAAGAUAAUGGACCUGUCGCAGGAUCUAAAAGGUGAUUUCAUUUUCACUCCACAGGAAUGCAUGCCGGGUCCAAGGAUCAGAUUUACCUAAACAAGAUAGAGCUAAAACAGGUGAGUAAGGAGGACAAAGGCCUCUUCAGAUAAUCCGGCAUUCCUGUCAUGCCACAUGGGCUGCUUCCUGGAAGUAUACUGAUUGCCUGAGCCAAGAGUAGAGCAAGAAGGGUAGUUUUAGCGUAUCAUCUUGAACUAGCGUCCACAAGAUAACUUUCCAACUAAAGACUUAUUUGGAUAAUUGGACUAAAAAUCUUACUGAAUUCAGGCAUUCAGGCGCCUGUAAUCCUAUGGUUUUACUGGUUGAAUGGGCCCAAUCUACAAAUCCAAUAAAAUUUUGGAGCAGAAUCAUCCAGACAGACAUUAAAAGAAAGUAAAACUUUCCUAAUUUACAGUUCACUUGCAUGCCCCUGCAUCCCUCUUUAUUAACAAACAACCGCACUAGGCAGCAGGGCAGCAACAGGAGGCACGAGUAUACAGGCUGGUGAAAGGCAAAAAAUCCAGCAGCUUUUGCCUUGCCAACCAUAGACAUUUGUACCUCAAACAUAUAGCUUUGUUUUUUUCUUCUUUUCUUUCCCCCCAAUCACACCUGAUCAAACCUCCCAUCCAUGGACCAGCAUUAGAGAAGCUGACCAUUACAGUAUACAUCCCUGACCUGCAGAUUGCCAACAGUUGUUAGCUCCAUGGUUGGCAUCCCUCGUCAUGGUAGAGGAGAUGCUGCACAUGAACCCCAUUUAAGUCUCUUGGCUCGAGCAGGCAAAACAUUAGCAUGGUUCAGAUGGUAGUAAUCCAUUUGUCUGCAGGACCAUGCACGUUCACACAACUUCUAUGCAAAUGGAUGGUAAAAAGAAAUAAACAAAAGAAAUAUUCACAAAUUAAACAGCAACUCUUUUAACUUUUUUUCCCCUUUUCAUCAACUAGCUUACACCACUAAAUGUACACCUUGCUCGAGUCGCAGAGCAGGAAAGCCCAUUGUUUGACCAGACCAUACUAGGCUACUGCAUCCAUAUCCGAAGCACCCUCACAUAAGAAAGGUUGGGACUCCCAUCUGAUUCCGGUCAUGAAACUGCAAUUCUAAACUAAAACCGUGCAACCACAAACCCAUCAGCCUAGAUCCCAUUAUAAGAAGAAUUUACAAAGACAAACAUCGAACUUAUGUUUCUAGGUACCUCGAUCCCACAACCAUAGCUAUCCUUUUCACCGGUUUAUUUUGUGUUUUUUCUGUUCUUUUUUUUGCCCAAGAACUGGAGAAGGGGUCAUCAGGGUGAACUACCAUGACAGAACACAGAUUCAUUAUUUUUAUUCAUUAUUUAUUUUUAUGAAUCUAUUAAAUUGUAAAUAUGAAAAAUUUCAAUUCUAUGAUUUCAGCGAGCUAACUUCAAGUACACACACCCGUAAAACCUGACUCUUGAUGUCAGAAAUUAAUUAAAGUCAGAAGAUCAUGACUUUGCUGUCGGUCCAAAUGCACUCUCGGGAAAAUCAUCUAUAGAUACCAGUGUCAGGAUGCAGACAACCCAUUACUAGCCCAGGAAACAUCUGACCACAUCAUACCAUCCGGCUAGAGUUCCAAAAAAGAUUUAACUACUGUAAUCAACACAGGGAAAACCCAUACCCAGUGCUGAUAAUUCAAGAAAGAUAAUUCAGGAAACCUCUGCUUGCUCCAUAAAGCACAUAAACCAGAACUUCCAUAUUUUAACUAUAAAAGCAAACAGACCAACCGUUAUUAAUAGAGACAUGCACUGUUAAACGCAAUAACCAAGUACUCAUGCAGUAAGUCUUUAACUACUAAUAAAAAAAACUCUAUAUAUAUGAGAAUAUGUUCUGAUGUACCGAAACAGAAAGGGUAAAAGAAAAAAAGUCCUCAAGGAAGUGCAGAUAUGUUAUGAAUUCCAGCCCUCAGAUCCCAAAAUGAUGAAGUUAAAAUCCUCCCCAAAAAAUGGAGGUUCACAGCAAAAAAGAUGACCUUAAGACAACAGUUUAAGGACAGCCCAGUGACCAAGCAUGGUAAUGAGAUAUCACCAUCAGCAAGCACCACUCUACCCAAGCAAAAUUAUGACCUCAUACUUGUAACUCUGGCUACCUUCGUCUUUCUUUUCUUUUCUUUUCUUUUCUUUUUCCAUCUUCCACUUUCUUUUUUUUAUUUUCAUUUUUUAUUUAAUAAUUUUUUAGCCGAGAAAGCAACACUUCCAUGUUUGGACAAAGCAAGUAUCUUACCUGGCAAAAUAAAACUUUGCCUCUCCUGUUGACUCCCUCCCUCACGUUUUAACCUUCCUCUGGCGAAAACAGAUUCCUAUAAUGUGUCGCUCCUGACUAGACUUCUUCCUGACUUGGAAUAAUCAGAAUUUAUGUGUCCAGUGACUUGCCCAUUUCCAUCUCCACUAAGAUCGCCCACCACGUGCAACUGGUUAUUCAAAUUCCCAGAUGCUGAUCUAAUAAGAACUACCUCAGUAUGAGUUGAGCCCCUCAUGCUAUUGUGGUUAGAUGCCCCCUCAAGUUCAACAGCUUGCAACUGAGCCACCAGGGUAUCGUAGUCUGAUGUUGCUGGUGACUGCAGGCCAGGAACAGUUCCAAAAUGAUUGGGAGAUGGGGGCAGCACCCAAUUCAUCCAGUCAUUGCGCUUCCUUAUUUUUUCACCCUGUGUCAAGGUAUGUGUAAGAGUGAAAAGGGAGAUGAAUGGUAGUAAAAUGAGAGGAAGAAAAGAUAAGGUCCUGCAAGAGAAGCUGACUAGUUAAUUUGAAAAGGAAACCGAAGACAAGAAAGAGAAAAAGAUCCAAUGAUUAGAUUCAGGAUAAUGACAUGUUUAGCGUGAAAGCAAGCCAUCCUUCAUGUUCCACUGCUCUACUUCUUACCCUUCUCUUUAUACAGUAGCACAUCAACAGGGCCAGUAAAAGUAAUCAAACUAAUUAGUAGUAGAUGAAAUAAUUUGCAUUUAACAAAUUAAUAGCUUGUUAUAUGACAUUCUAUUUUGAGUGGAAAACAACUAUUAGAACCUAAUCAAAUUUUAAUAAAAUAAUUAAAUAAAAAUAUACCUGUACUUCCACUACAUCCGACAGCCGUAUGGUAUCCAAAAUAUACUGUAUGUUAUUUGUGAAUUGCUUGACCUGCACAACAUUGCACGAACAUACAUAAGAUAGAAAUGGAGAUUUCCCAAACUUAAUAAAAAUAACAAAAUCAAGCAGAGAAGUGCAUGUACCAAUGAAAAAGAAAUCACCCUAGUUGCAAAAUGCAAAACCUAGUUACAUGAUUUUAUGGUUCAGUAACCAUCUUAAACAGAAUGCCUCUAUUAGGCAACAUUUAAUGGAUUCUGUCCUGUACUUGUAUUCAUCCUGUGCUCCAUCAACAUUAGCAUCUUCACAACUUAUGCUUAGAUUCAAAAACGAGCCACGGAGCUGCAAUAUGGUCCAUACCUACGACUUCACAUGGUUCUACAGCUGCCGUAGCCAAGCAUGUGGCCUAGCAAUGUUCAGGCCAGACAACUUUGAUAGGUCCAUACCCUAUAAUAGGUAAAUGAAACCAAAAGAGACUAAUUUACAGAUGCCCAAUUGAGGCCAUGAAAAGUUCAUAACAAAUAGAUAGAUUAAAAGUUGCCACUAAAAUAAACAUAAGACUCUUAAUUAGGUAAUUACUUUUAAGUUUGAACAAGGCAAGGACAUUUGCAAUUGAAAAACAUGCUUUCCAAGUCCUGUGAAGGACCGUGAGAUCUACAGACGAUGAUAUCUGAAGUCUAAUUAUCAUUGGUCUAAGCUGGGAAUAAGAUUUUUGGCUUUCGUGUGAUAAAAGAGCACCCACUCCUAACUACAAAAACGGCUGCAAUGGAGACAUUUUGGGAGAUCUGUAGGCUAUACCUUCAUAGAGACAAGACUGAAUGAUUUACUGGUAACUAUAUAAAGCCAGAAUUAUGGGCAUACAUGGAUAUCAGAAUGAUCAAAUGACCCCUCAUUCAAUCUAGCUGCAGGUAGAGAUUUCACUAUGAUACAUAAAAAACCAUAGGAUACCAUAAAGUUGGCUUUCAAGAUUACAGAUACCAUUUUAGCUAGAAGCUAAAAAAUUUAAAAUUACAUUAAUGGCAUUACAAAUCUAGCAAACAAAACCUCAACUUCAUCAGACUUGUAUAAUAAAAACCAAUUACCACUAAAUCUUAAAAAUAAAUAAAUAUAUGGAAAAAGCUGAAAAGCUAUCCUUGAGUACAACAUUACAAUAAAUCUGUGAUCUUAUCUAUAAAUGGGUACAGAGCAGUUCUGAGUAAGUGACUAUCAAUUUUAGUGUUUUAAUAACCAAUUUUAGUUUUCUAUUACUGUUGUUUCUCUUAACAAUGUAAGAGACCAUGAUUUAGUGACGUCAAAAUGGUAACUAAGAUACAAUGAUAGAAGAAACAAUCUGAAUUGGCAUGUAAAAACUGCAGCCAUGUGGUAUCAAUAAUUGCAGAAAGAGAAUGCAAACAGUUUCGCAACUUGGAAAACUUUUUACAAGAUGUUUACAGAUGCACAACAAAAUGGAAUUACACUUUCGCAUAUGUAAUAUAUGGGAUUGGUCCAGAUAGGAAGAGUAGCUCAGAUAAGGAUUUAAGGAGCCCUCAUAUAAGAAAAUCUGAUUAAAAGAUGCAAACUUAAUUACAAGCAUGCAAGGUUUCAAUAUGUGCGUAAAUGAUAAUGAGGAGUAGAACUUCCAUAAGAAAGUCUAGGCAUGGGAGUGAGAUUAUAGAGCAAGUGAAGCACUUUGCGUAUUUAGCUAUUUUGUGCAUAAUAAAUCCAGAGAAUGAAUGCAACCACACUAGGGAAUUUCUACGUCAUCAAUAUUGACCUAAAGCACUUCAUUUGUCUUCGUACUUAGGUUUGUAAGUUUUUUCACAUGAAGAUAAACCAAAUUAUAUACAAUAAUGUAAAAUGCAGGAUCCCCCCAAUAUCAGCAACUCUUUAACAAGUACGACUGCUGUACAACAGAAACAAACAUGACAUGCACAAAAAACACAUGGAAGCACCAUAAUAAUCUCUGCCACACUUAGACAGUCACAAACCCAGCAAAAUGUAACACAGCACACAAUCCAAUAGCAACCGGUCAUUGUCACACACACAAACAGGAGGCACAGUCACAAAGGCACACCUUUUCUGCGCCUCGUCACCCAAUGAGCAGCGCUUCUUAAGUGCCUUGAUGAGGCCACCUCACCUUGAGGUAGGCAAGGUGUUCAGGUUUUACCUGAGCAUGUCUUGAGCCUCAUGCACACCUCUAACAAAGUAGAUAUUUCCACUUUGCAGUAUUUGCAAACAUAAUGGAAGUAUUCGACCUUCAAAACAUUUGGAAAUGUUUUUGUUGUAGAAUAUAUUAUUGAAUAAGCUAGUCAAUCAUAAUCAAGAUGUUGCUAACAUUUGCCCAAGCAACUUCUUCUAAACAAGCUUUUCUUAUUUUUCUAAUCCAUAUAAGCAAGUAAGACGCAUGAUAUUCUACCUCAAGAGCAUCGUAUGCAAUCUAGAGCCAAUCCAAGCAAAUUUUUACCAAUUCCUUGAACCACUACACAUGGAACCCAAACAGUGGUUUGAUGCAUGAAAAGGAAAUGGUGCUUGCAGGAAAUCACUGUUUUUAAAAUGUUAAUACCAUAUAUGGAUGAGGUUUGAACAGCAAGAGCAAAACUUUGAUUUGAAAUAGCAAAUUUGGGUUCUUAGGAUUUAGAAUUGGAUAUGAUCUGUAAGGAAGAAGACAGAUUUGUUGUUAGGUUUAUCAUAUAAUAUUUUUUAAGUGCUCAUAAAUCAUGUGUGUUACAAGAAGAAAGAAAGGAAAAAUGCAGGAAAUAUCAGGCCAAUCAAUGAUAAUCUUCUUUUUGAUAUCAAAAAUAUCAACAACAAUCUGUCCAUAAAUCAUUCAUUCUCUUUUUUUCUUUUUAAUCUCUGUUUUAUGAUCCAGUUUACCAUAUAUUCCAUAUAUUUUAGUACUAAGGCCACUCUUUAAAGAAGAAGAGGUUGCUUGUAAUAGCUGGACUUCUCCUAAAUCAUUCAUUUUAAUGUAUACAAUCAGAUGCUUAAAAAAUAUAUAUGUAGUAAGAAAAGCUGUCCGUAAUCAGCAUCUAAACCCAGUAUAAUUGUUAAUAUUUCUUAAAAUGCAUACAAGUGUUGACGACACAACACAAACAAGGAGAUGUUUACGGGUGUAACACAAGGUUUGACAAAUUGAUUUUGGUUAACCCAAUCAUGUUUUGGAUUCAAAAUUUUGGUGGUUUGCACUUUUUUGGUCCAAAUUCCCAACACUUUGGUCAAAAUAAAUCAGACAGUCAAACAAACAGAAAUAAAAGAAAUCAAGCUAAGAAAAUACAUGCUCUGCAAUAUUUAUGUAUUUUGUAUUGUAUAAAAUCACAGGGUGUGUGAUUUGAUUUUUCUCAAACUGAAACUAUGAUAUUAUAAAACAUAUAAAAAGCAUACACUAUAAUUUUAUAGCAUAUAAUUUUAAUAAAAUUCUAUAAUAUCUAUCUCAAAUCCAUAGGUAAGCAAGGUGACACACUCAAACCAGCACCACCACCCUAAAAAGGAAAAAUCCUUAAUUUAUAUGGGAAGUUAAUGCAUUCUGAUGCUCUAGUAUAACAUAAAAAGGUCGAUGACUUUCUUUUACAAAAGACGGCUCAAUGGCCAAAGAUUUGGACAAAGAACUACAUGUGGCUAAGCUGUAUGUAAACAAGUGGAAAAGCUAGUAUAACUGCAUCCUAGUAAAUUUAGUAUAACUACUUUCUUCCAGACGAUGCAAACUUUAGGUUACAAAGAAGUGUAUGAUGCACCUUAAGUGUAAAUAGGAGCAGGUAUGCGCACAAGAUAAAAAUUCCUGAGCAAGCAGCGGACCUAAGAUAAUGUAGUCUGGUAACAAAGGCUGGCUCCCAUUACUAGAUUGAGGGACUCAUUAUAGUUUAUUUGGUCCAUCAAAUCAAGCCUAUCAACCACAAACACUAAACAAUCCUAAAAUUAAUGUUAUACCUUCCUAAUUCCAAAAGAAUCCCAAGAGACCCUUAACAGAAGGAAAUAGCAAUUUAUUGUAGCACUCAGUAAAAACUGAAGUUAUGUAAAUAGCAAAGCAUAAUCAUAUUCCAAAAUAACUAUCAACCAUCUGAUUAGUACCAAAAAUAAUCCUAAAAUAUUCUUAAUAGAAAAAAAUUAAAAAGUAUUUUAGCACAAAAUAGAAAAAGCAGAACGUACUCUCAUUCCCAGUCUAACUACCAACCAACUCACUGAUAAACAAAAAAUUUUCACUCUGAUAGGUGACCUUUCUCACAUGCCCUUUUUUUACAUGUGUUCUAAUGUUUUUGGUCAAUGUAACAAAGAAUUUUGAAUUUAUGAAAAUAUGAUUUCUUUCAUGAACUGAAGUGGUAGGUGAAACAGACAACAAUUUUUACUAAGCAGAAGUUCCUUUGCUCAAAAGAUCGGUGGUUGAGUUCUUAAAAAUCCAUUAUAUUGAGCCUAUUGCUAACUUUCCUGCAUAAUCAGAACCGAUGAAUCAAGAUCAGCUGAUGAACAAAUGCUACUGGAACUAGUUAUUCCUCAUGCAAUGUAUUUGAUAAUUUUCCUUGAACCAAAUUCGAGGGCAUAAAGAAAUAGAACUGCAGAUUGAUGGUCAUAAGCAAAAUUCACAAGAGCAAACAAAUGUAUCAGUCAGCAUAUGAGCCAUAGGAGUCAGCUUAAACAUCCUUUCUUAGUGCUGACUGUGGCACCUUAUGAAUAGCUUUAUAUGGGAUGAGAUGGCCCUUGUGAUGACCAAUGAAUACAGUGGUCCAGAAAACAAAAGACUGAGGUGAUGGAUCUAAGGACAAACAUAUGCAAGUUCCGUUGUGCACUCAUGCAUGACUGCAUAUAAUUCCCAUUGUCAUGAUCUAUCUGUCAUAUUGUGUGUAUGUAUAAUGAGUAGUCUUCAAGUUCAACAAGUUGGAAGAACUCAUCGAGGGAGAGAGUCGAAUAAUCUUAAGAUUCAAGAGUGGAAUCAAUCAAGACCAUCUAAAGCAAAUACUGGAGUUCGGUCUGUGCCGUCUCCAAGUCAUGUUUCCAAGCUACGACUUCAUUUGCUCUAUAUAUUUUUUCUCACUCAUAAGAGUUCACCUUAAGGUCUAACCUACUCAUGCCUCUUACUUAAGUGCAUGAUGUUGCAUUCCUGCUUCGUUCUCACUCAUUCUUGGUAGCAUACGCAUACACAUCCAUAUAUUAUACACUAAUAUCAAAAGAUUAGUGGUGCAGGUGAGCUUGAAAAGAAGUUCAGUCUCAUAAACGGCCAUACAUACUAAAAUCUGUAAAAAAGCAAGCUUCUACUAUAAACCACAGCACUUCCAACAAAGAGGCCAAAAAAACACUAACACGCACCUGCGUGCACAAUAGGACAGGACAGUAAGUGUUCCGAAAUAACUCACCCUGUUGAAACCAGCAAUCAAGGUUAUAGGAACCCAGCCCUGCUCGUCCAUGUUCCGCCGCAAGUAAAUGUCCUUGCACAAAUUAUCAGAACUGCACGAAAAAAGAAAAACGAAGAAGAAAUACUAACUUAAACAAAUACUUCAUGAGUCACUAGAAAGAUUACAUUUAUGGACUAGGGAAUCACCUGAAGUAGUAAUUUAUCUGCUUCAGUAACAUAGCGCGCUGAGGAUCUAUCGCCGCUGGGGAAAACACUGCAGGGGGUGCUGCUGCUGGAUGAGCAAUAAACGGCAAACCACUGAGAGUCUCAGGAGGUGGGGGUGUUGCCACAUAGUACACAGGAGAAGGCAUAUCUAACAAGGAGACCAAGAUCGCAGUUAUAAACAAUGAAUCUCAACGCCACAUGGGAGGAUAUAUUACCACGAACCAACCAUAGAGAGUGCAUGAAACUCACCAGGGUAGCCGACAGGAUUCCCAAAAGGUCGGACCUGGGGCGGUGGGCUGAGAAACGGUGGCGGAGGCGGUCUGGGGUACGGUCGCACACCCCGCUGCUGCGCGCUGGCAUCUCUGCUGCCAAAACCCCGAGGACCCCACACGAAGCUCCCGCGAUCCUGAUCGCGUCGGCUUCCAAAGCUGCCGCGGUGGGACCCGCCGCCGCCACCCCGCCGGUUGCCGCCGUAACCCCGAUGGUGAUCAUUCCAACCAUGUUGCUGAGGUGCGAAACCACCCCCCCUGGUGCCACGGUCCCAGUUGCUGUUGCCGCUGCUCUUGCUGGGGAGGUCUCCGGGAGAUGGUUCUGGGAUGGUCUCUCUGUCUGGAGUGAUCUGAGUCGCCGCUGCCGAAGCCGGCGGCGGAGAUUGUAGUGCCGGCGCACCAUUGACCGGUGUACCGCUGCUACUUCCGCUGCCACUACCACGCUUGUUGGGUUUCUGGCGAACAGGAGAAGCGACAUGGUUUGUGGUCGAAUUCAGGUUCAUAUUGUUCGAAUUCGGCCUCGGAGGAGUUGAUAUCACGGGCCCCUAAUUCCAAAAGAUUGUAUGCAUAUAUACACAAACCAACAUAUGAAGUUAAAAGAAGAGCAUGCAUCGCUAUUGAUCUCGACUUUUUUUGUUUCUUUCUGAAAUACUAUUGAAAUUUCAAGAAAGUUUAGAGAUCUCACAGGGGGAGCAGAGACUGUUCCAUCGGAAGAACCCUUGAGAGUAUUGGGGGAUGACGAUUUGGGGGAGGCCUUGGUGGACUCGGAGAGAGGGGGCCAGGACACCGCCCCCAUGACAGGACCAACCUCGAUCGAGCCGUUGGAUGGCCUUUGCCAAGCAGGCUUCUUCCCUCGGGCGGCGGCGGCGGCGGAGGAGGAGGAGGAGGAGGAGACGGAGACGGAGGCGGAGGCCGCAGCAUUACCGUUGCACCCGUGCUCCGGUUCAUCCGAUGGCAUCGAGGACUGAGGAACGGUGCCGGACGAUGAGGCCACGUUCUCGGAUGGCACCGGAGGGGAGCGAUCGGAUGGCUCCGGCGGGAGGAUCGCGGCGGCCGAAGGCGGGGGAGAUGAGGGGGACGCAACGGCGAUGGCGGGCUCGGGAUCGCCGCGGAGGACGUGGGUCCACGGGAAGGAGGGGCCGCGGGAGGGACGGGCGGAGCCGGGGGAGUGAGGGAUUGAGGAGAAAUCGGCAGCGAAGGCCAUAGGGGCGGGCGGAAGCUAGGGUUAGGGUUCCGAUCGGGAGCUCCGGCGAGGGGAAGGGAGGGGGGCUUAGGGUUUUCGGGGGUUUUCUCUCAGUGAUGCAUAGUUUCCGAAUACGACGAGGACUCGAAGAUCCGAUCAGGGGCACGUACGAACGAGGGAGAUUCUCUCUCCUCCCUCUCUCUCCCUGCCUCGUUGUGUGUCGCUCUCGCCCCCUUCUCUUUGCUCUUUUCUUUCCUUGUCCGCUUUGCCGAAUAAAAACCAAAUAAAAAAAUUCUCUUUUCUGUUGUGAAAUAACCUAACGUUUUCCAGCUUAUUACUACGACUUGCCCGAACCCGCCUGACCGGAGAGGUGAUAUUUUCCGCUUUCUGCUUUCAUGCUGUAAAGAAUUGAUGAUAUUUUCCCAUGCCAAAACAUAAUUGCACCCAUUUAAGUUGUAUAAUUUAAUACCUACAAGAUUAAAUAUUUUUUUUUACUUGAUUCAGCUGCUUUACAAAACUCUUGAGUAAAUAUAUCCACUCAAAUUAGUCGCAAAUUUUUUUUAAAAGUUUCUCAAUAGAAUAAAAAUUUUCCACAACUUCGAUCCAACAUGGUCUACUACAAAAGAAGCUAUUCAGUCUGUCAUCCUAUUAUCCUUUCUGAAAACAUGCGUGACAAUAUAUGAGGUGAUGUACCAUUUAAGUUUCCAAAUAUCUAUCAUUGAGGGAUAAAUAAGCUUCUGAUCAUGUGCCUCAAAGGUAAUCCAAAAAAUAAUAGUCUUGUAGUCCUCUUCCAAUAUAGUAUGAUCUACAUGUAAAACUGUGAUGGCAUAAAUCAAACCAUCUUAUAUAGUUGUCAUUUCAACUAGUGGGACUAUCGUGUCAUAAAUGGAAGAGCCGCCGGCUACAAUAAUCACUAACCUAGAGUCCCAAGUAACAAAACUAACUCCAUCAAUUGUACUUCUAUUUUUCAUAUUAUCAUCGAAGUUGAUUUUGAGAAAGCUGGAGAAUCCUAAGUAAAAUAAACGACAUGGGAUGCAGAGAUGCUUGCGCGGAACCUUGGAUUUUUCUAACUCCUAUCAACGCCUCCGAUGAUCCAGCUUGUAUGAAGUCAGAGGCAUGUUGUAAUGCUCUCAACAUAGUAACUAGAAGGCUUUUGCUGAUUUUUUUUCCUGAGCCUUUUGUUACUGGCUAACCAUACACCAUAAGUAGUGUAGCAUAAUAAAAUUGAACUCCAAUCAUCUACCUGUCUAGAUGAAAACCUCCAAGUUCCAAGGGUGGGAGGAUACAGACAAAAUAGCUGAAGGCCAGUCUCCAAAUUUGCAUAGCUUUGGGGCACUUGAGUCAUACAUAAUCAACUUAUUCUUCUAUCUCCAUACAGUGUUCACAAAAAGAGGAAAAGUAAUACCUCUAUAGUGAAGAAUCUUUUUGUAUGGUAAUCGAUUCCAAACCAGUUUCUAAAGAAACAAUGCCUCUUUUGGAUGAAUUCCUACUUUCCACACCCAUCAUGCAUCGCUCUAAGGCCCUGCAGAAUCACUGAAUAAAGAGUAAAGCUCCCUAACUUUGACUCUUAGUCCUCUGGAGCCUUUCCAUCUAAAAGUCUACCGAGUCUUCCAACAGAAUCACAAUGAAAAACACUUGGGAGCUAAGCUUAUCUCCAAAGCACUGAUCGAUGAGUUGUUUGUUCUACUUCUUUCUUCGACGACCAUCAAGUCAUAUACCACGGAACUGUAGAGAUCUAGGGGUCAUUUAACACACUAAUGGUCCUCCAUUCCCCAACCAUCCAUCUAAAACUGAAUGCAAGCAUAGGAGUAUAUGCACAAAGAGCUCUCCAAAUAAAUGAUUAUUGAUCGAUAUCAAUUUCAUGACCAUAUAAAUAAUAUUUCAUCUAUCCAUCUAGCUAAGUUGACAUAAAUAAAAAAAAGCAAAAUCAAUGAACAGAACAACUAUAGCCUAGUUUUUUUCCCAACAACUACAAUGGGCUAGUAGUAUAAGCAUUGAGAAGAAAGAUGUCAUUCCGUGGAUUGAAAUCCUGUGGACAUAACCCUAGUUGUUUACCAAAUAAUAAAAAUGAUUACAAAUUAUUUUAAUAAUCAUACAAAAUGUCUAUGUAGGUUAAUUUGGUCCACUGGUUAGCCAGGAAUUAAAUUGCAUGUUUACUAAGAGAGCUUGUUGAAGCAUUGCGACAAUCUAAGAAUAGUCAUUGUCAUCAUUUUAUGAUACGAGGCAAACAUCAAGCACAACUAUGACUUGAGAAAGCUUCAACGAGAAGGGUUAAAUAGGUUCGUAUGAUUAGCUAAAUCAGACAUCAAUACUUUAAACAUUGGUAUUGAAUUCAUGGUACAGACAUUACUAGGUAAAAAAAAGUAGCUGUACUGUGGAAAUUUAAAAUCCAAGUGACAUAUAUGAAGUUUUAUCUUAUUGGUUAGAUGUAAAGCUCAUCCAAUGAGGAAUAAUGAUAACUUUAUAUUAGAAACAAAUAGUAGAAACUAGGGAAUAUUGUAGCAUGACCAACUGAACAAAACUAACCAGCAAUUCUAUCAAUAUUCAAUCUUGAGUAGCCUAAAAUAUUCCAUAAUUGUAUGGACAUUGUAGAGGUUUCACAAAAGGUUGAAGUAUUGGUAUGGUACCUUGUACCAGCACUAAAAGAUGAAAUACCUUGUGCUGAUAUAAUCGUGGUGCAAGAGGAUAACGGUAUUGAAAACUUGUGGUAUGAUUUAGCACAGACCAAGAUAUUGUAGUUAAAUCUUUACUCUUUACUCUCAUCAUUUGUGUGAGUCUCCACUCAUCAAACAAGGGCCUGCCAUGGAGCAUAAUUUUGAUUUGACCAAGUUCCAAGGAAUGGAUUGAGCCUAUUUUCUUGACUCACUAUCAAGCAAAUAUCAAUCAUGUAAUUAGUGGUGUUGAAAUCACAACCACGAUAGGACCAAGAAGAAAGCAUGCAAUGAAACCCUAAAAAAGCUAUUGUUAAGCAAUAAAGAUAUAUUCUAUCAGUCAAAGUUCAUGCAAUCAAAUAGCAAACCUUAAAGUUUAUUUACUUAUAAUCAGAGUUUGUAUGAAACGAGAAUAUGAUAGAGUUUGAUAGAGGAGAGGAUAAUUAUCUUUGAGGCACAAAUUACAAGCCCAAAUAGCAAAACAAGCUAAGAAGUAAAACCAAAACCUUAGUCAUAUCCAUCCCAUUUAUUAGAGAGCCCUCUCUCUUAUUCUUCUUAUUAUCAACCUUAAGAUAGUCUCUUUCCAAUAUAAUCCAUUUAGCCCAAAGAUGUCGAGCUCUUUUGAGAUUUUUCCGCAACAACAACCCUAGAUGAUAUGGCUUGUAAAUUGUUGGAAUCCCAUCAUCACCAGCAGUAACCUAUUACAAACAGCAUGAAGGGCCUCUUCAUAUUCCGUCCUCUAUAAUUGGAUGAGAGAGCAGGCUUUGGAAGUUUUUAAGAUCUUUUUUGUUCGCAAUCUUUCUAAAAGAACAAGGGCAGCAAACAAAACAUAAACGAUUUAAACAAACUAAAGUUUAAAAAUUAUUUAACAUGCAUUUUUUUCACAAAUUGUAACCACCCUCCACUUUUAGUCAGAUUACCUUGUUUGCAAGGUGGGCAUAAGUCUCACCAGUGACAUCAAUUCAUUGAAAGCACCUAGAUCAUGUAAGACUUGCUAAAGGAGUCUAAUGUAAUUUAUCCAAAUUUUCAUUUAAAUGAAAAUCAUAUUAUUGAAAUAUAUCUGUUUUUUAGAUAAAGCUUCAUUGUGGAUAAAAUUAUGACAAGAGAACGAAAUGUUGGAUUCUAAUCACUUCAAGUGGUCUAAUUUAAUCAUGAUGUUUGAUUUUGCAAAUCCAAAUAGCAGAGGUCUAUAGGAUAUAUAUAAAGUUAAUCUCAUCAAGAAAUUAAUUCUUUCUCUCUAUAAAGAUAAACUAAACUCAUAGGAUAACUUGAAUGUCAGUAGAGCGCCCUGGCAAGUUAGGAGUACUCUGGGCAAUGUUACAUGAUGGCAUGGUUAAUUCCAAAAGCAUGCAUCCUAAUGUUGUCAACUCAGCCAAUUAGAUGCACAAGGUGUAAGAAAAUUAUAUAUGAAAGCCAUCACAUUGAUCCUCAAGUGGCAAUAUAGUUAAUGUUAACCUUUCAUCAUUAGUUCUUUAUUUUUAUUAUUAUUAUCGACGCGAAGCAAGGUUUUGAUCUUGAAAACAUAAGAUUUUUCUGAAAUUUAGGUCUAAUUUUGACAAAUCUGCAUAUAAUGUUAUUGAAGAGUAUGGGAUUAAUUUAGGAAAUCAAAUGGAUACAUAAGCUGGCGCAUAUGACGGCGGUGGAUGAGCCCGAAGUAAUUUAGAUAUGGGCUUAAUCUAGGUAUAUAGUAUCAUUGGACAAACUUUGUGAUUCAUCUAACAUGAUGCAUGUAGCAAAUUACCAAUAAUUGAUGCAUAUGAUUCAUUAUUCACAUGAAAUUUAGUAAAUGUCCAUUAUGAGUUAAAUAAUUUUCUCAAUCUACCUUAUUACCCACGAAAUAAAAGAAAGGAGGAAAAUAAGAUUGAUGGAGGUAAUUUCUUUAAGAACCUUUUUUUUUCUUUGUUAGAAAGAAAAGCAGUUUGUAUCUCAAAGUGUAGUCCAAAGAUCAUUAAUUGUUGCAGUCGUUUCUCUUCCAUCUUGUGCUUCGCAUCGAGCAUCAUAUAAUCCAUGGACCUCUUCUUUUGGCUCCCCAGCAAAAAGAACUAGGAGACAGUUGACCAAGGGUUUGUCUUUGGAUCCCCACCAUUGAAAUCAAAUAAGUAAUGCUUGUCAUAUCCUUGAUUUCCUGUCCACCAUCCUUCAUUUAGACCCAGGCUCAAGCAAAUUAUAUGUUGAUUGACAUAUGAGAAUAAUUACUCUUCCCAAGCCAAUCCUUUAAUGAUUUUUUUUAUAAGCCAGCAAGAUUAUACAAUUUUAGUAUGAGUAUGUCCAAAAAAAUCGGAAAUAAAAAAUGACAGAAGAAAGAGGAAAUCGUAUCGUAGCUAGCCCAGAAAAUGCCGCCAAAGUACUGAGUCCUAUAGGAAGCGACUUAAUCAGCUACCUUAUUCACCUCCAUCCUUGGACAACCUUUUUCUAGAACAUAUGCAACAUGUAAGGGAUAACGGCCCGUUUGAUUGGCCCAAGGGGUAGAAUGUGAGAAAAUGGGAGCAUGAGUAGUUGUUCUCCUGGUGGACUCAGGGAGAGUUCCUAAAGAGUGGGAUGUAGUCUCUCAACCUUGAUGUUCUUAUUUCAUCCCAACACAUCCAUUAAAAGACAUACAUCAAGGAAAGAGGGAAUAAAGAAAGUUAACCAUACUCGUAGCGGUUUCAUCUCAUCAAUUACAUUGAGAAUUCCCAAGGAUGAAAGGGAUGCUACCUUUUGACACCAAAUUAUUUUUCUUGGAUGCAAGAGACAAGCAUAGGCGCUCUUCAUUAUUCGGAGCAUUUUAGGGCUUCAUGCAUUUAUUUAAAACUGAUGUAUUUUAUCAUUACAUUCAUAUAUUGUUGUACAUAGCAAUGACAUAAAUCAACAGAUUCACUUAUCAAAGCAACUCAAUCCAUUUGAACUGUUACAUGUCAUAAUUUUUGAUGACACCAUCCUCAAAUACUCAUUGGCUAUUUAUACAUGGUUAUGAAUUUGGCCAAACUUGGUAGCUACUAAAAGGAAAAGACCGGUCCAGUAACUCAUUUGUUGCGACAUGUUGCAAGGAUAUAAAUCAUUCGAUUCUCUCGUCAAAACAACUCAAUUAUCUAAAUUGUUGCAUUUCUUAAGUUCUAAUCAUUUCAUGUGUCAUUUCUUGGUUUGUAGAAACAAAUUAAUUUAGCAAAUUAACUGUUGCGACAUUGCCUGAUAUGUCUAAAGAUCAUCGAUAUGUAUCAAUACUUUUCUUAUAUAAUAAUGUAUAAGAAAAUCUGCUGUAAAAUAUGCAGACUCUUAUAAGAGCCAUUUGAAAUUCAUUGUAUCAGUAAAACCAGCUAAAACUUGGCAGAAACAAAUUUGUAGCGAUACAGUGCUGUUUUGAUAAGAUAAACUUUUAUGAGCAAAACCAGGUUUUAAUGCUAAAAAAACAGGCAAAAGUAUUAAAAUAUUUAAGUUUUUGGGGCAGGAAGAAUUAUUCAAUCCUAUUGGGAUAUCGCUAUUGGUUAAUGGAUAAUAUAUCCAGCUGGGUUCCGUGAUCCGAUGACAGGAGAUCAGAGCAGGCUCAGUCGGAGCCCAACCAAGAAUGCUGCCGUCAAGGCCCAAGGCGGCUUUUAGUUUAAACUUUACGUCAAGAGCAGGCUCAGUUGGAGCCCAACCAAGACAAGAGUUCUUCUAGCCCAUUAAGGUGGUUCUUCUAUAGAUGACCUAAUGAAUGCUUUACUUUCGGUUUUAGGCUUCUUUGGUCAUUUAAAUCCUGUCGCUGUUGCUUUUUUUUUUUCCAUAAGUUUGUUGAAAUGCAUUGAUCUUGAAUAUUCUGCUUUGCAUGGCUUAUGUUCUUGGUUUAUAUAUGGUUGAACUUGAAUUAGGAAGUUGGGUUUGCAUCGAGAUCCAUUGCAAUACGAUUUUGGUUUAAGAAAAGUUGAGUUUUUAGACGUAACUUAUGAAAGCAUUAAUUUACUAUAUUCUCGGAAAUGGAUUUAUGGUUGGGCCACCAAUCAUUCCCCUUAUAAUUACUUACAUUUCUACUAUAAUUUCACUUUUAAUCAACCCAUGGCUGUCAACAUUGUAUAAUGUUGAUUUUUGGUUAUGAAGGAUGAUUUAAGUUGCCAUGGAGUAAAUAUAACAGGAGUCAAAAUACAAGAGGUUGCACAACUAGGUGGGAAUGGAUCAACCAUGUGCCCAUAAAAUAGGUCUUGCAUGAUGGACUGCAGUCAUCCAGUCUGCAGCACUAUUUACAACUAUGUAAACAUGCAAAGCUUCAAAAUAUUAUGUAAUGUCCUUUGAGAAAAAUAGAGGAAAAAGAGCGGUCAUCCAAUCUACUUCAUUAAGCCGAGAGAGAAUCCAACAAAACAACACAAAUCUCAAAAAACCAAUCCAAAGUUCAAAUUUCAAAUUCAAGCCACUCAUCUAUACAAAUAUUUAGAAUUCAAUAGUUCCAUCUCUAGAAUAUUAUCGAAACACAAGAUACGAUAAUAUUGCUAAAACUAUGAGAACCCCAACAACAACCACCAAAAACAACAAUAUUGGCAACCAGGAAAGAUCUCUAAUCAGUAAGCUGAGAUGUUGCUAUGGUGGGGAACUCCAUCAUCACCCCCCAAGAAAUAGAGUCGAAGAGAGGGAGUGUAAUACUUGUGAUGAUGAAAUUCACUGUCAUGAAUCCAUCAGCAUCGUGUGGCCACGAAGGAGGCCAGCAACAAGUUGGUAUGUCACAACCUAGUUGAGAAGGGGAGAAACACUCAGAUGGUAAGGGAAGGAGGAGGGAAGGUGAGGCAUAGGCAUAGUUAUGGCAUUUCAAUUUAUUCAAUAAUAUGACGUAUAUGACUAUUGUUCCUUCUGUUAAUAUUGCAACCGGUUUGCGUGUGUGUGUUUUCUUUUUCUUUUUCAAUGCCUUUGAGGAUGAUGCGUUUUAUUCAGCUCACAUCAGUUUAGUCUGUUAAUCUAUCAGUAUUUGUUCCCAUGUUGGAAAUCUGAAGUACCAUAUAUAUGGAACUGGAGAAAAAAGCAUAUAGAAUAAAUAAAUAGAGGUAGCACCGAAGCUAAAAUGAUCCUUCAUGGAUAUACAAUGUAGUAAUUUUGGAUAGCUCAAUUAGCAUUUGGAACACCUAUCUUCCGAACAAUUCGAAGAUUCCCUCUGUCUUACCAAAUAAAAUGUCAAAAGUCUAGAUAAAAAUAUAUGUUUCUUUAGGUUUGCAGGCAAAUAUUUUUCGCAUGGUAAACCUCUCCCUUCUUCUCACAAAAGGUGCAAAUUUCUGAUGGAGGAAUGCCACCAUGCACUGAUAGGCAUUCAGUGGACAUAAUGUUCUGAUGCAUAAUAUCAAUGCAGCAGCAUGUGUUGAUGUAAUAAUUAUGGCAAGAGCAUGAAGGAUCAUAACUCGAGUGGGUUAGGUAGAAAUUAACUCCACCUAUGUAGUCUCAUUCUGGAGUGUUAGUAAGGGUAGGAGGAACAUGGACCCAAACCUUCGCUUUCGAACUUUACAUCGAAUUGUCAAUAUACAAUCCGAAUACAAACUUGUCAUAAGAAUGUAUCAUUUCUAGGUGCGCCUCCUAGAUUCUUAAGCCUCCAUUGGUGGGAAUUAUAGAUUCUUUCAUGCUACAAUGUCUACAACCCUUGAAUUCAUAUAGAGAUGAAUCAUCUCCAGAACAACAGAAAAAAUCUCAUGUACCAUCACAGGGUUAUGUGAAUUUGUCCAAAACUGCAACCCGAUCGCAUCAUAAACUAAUAAUAAUAAUGAAAGAAAAAUCGUACAUACACAGCUACUUGAGAAAGAAAAAAAAAAAAAAAGGAAGCGACAACGAUGCCAUCGAACCUACUUCUUUUUUUUUUUUUGAAUUUUAUUGGUUGCACUCGUACAAUAUUGGUGUGAGUCAUCACUGCAUUAAAAAAGAAAAAAAAAAACCUACUUCAUUUUGACUCCUAUCAUAUUAUUAGAUAUCAUUCGAAUAAAAUGUUGGUGGGCUGUCUGAUGGCUAUUGGACGAUGCAAGAGUGGAAAGGCAUCCAACCGACCUCAUCCCCGUUGGCUUGCGGCUUGCAAUGAUUGAGUGCUCUGAUUGUUGAUUCCAUUAGUGUCCUCCGGGCAUAUUCUCCUCCUCAGUGGAAGCUGCCGGAAGGGCUUGCCGUCGCUGUCGUCUCAAAUCACAAGGGAUAAGGAUGAGACCGGAAAUUAAUGACAGCAGCCGGCCAAGAUGGUUGCCGAUGUGAGGGAGGAAUUAGGCCUUCAUUUUCAACCCAAUAGGCCUCAAGCUUUGAAAUAACCUUACCUGAUCUCUAUACUAUAAAACCUAUUGGACCUGUAAACUCUGAGGACCCAUCAUUAGAUGUGCAAUUUGGAACGUUUAACUAGAUGUCUGUAUUUGUAUUUUCGGAGUGACAUCGUCACAGGACCAAGAAUAGUAAAGAAUCUAAUCUUCAUUUGGAAAAUGGUUAGCAAAUCAACCACUGGCACUUAAGUCUCUCGAUGCAUCCUUUUCAGACUAAUUUAGUCGUGUGGGAAGAAGAAAGGGGAAAGUAUGGUCAAUAAAAAAAAUGACAAAGAGAUUUACGUUUGAUUGGAGGUUUCAAGAUGGAAAUGUGGCCUUUCUAUCGUCUUUUCCUUGCGAAAAUAGAUAUCCAUGGGAAAUAUAGAAAAUUGUAUUCUCAUCUAUCUUUCCUUGGUUAUAAGUUUUUCUAUCUUCUAUGAAAUAUAAAAACCUAUGUGAAACAUGAGAAAGCUACUGUUUCAUAAGCUGAUAAUCAAGAUAAAAUAUAUUUUUGUAAGAAAUACCUUUAGUGGCUUAUAUCUUUUUUUCUCCUUGCCAUCAAUUUAUUAAGGAUGUAAAAAUAUUUUUACAUAAUUUUUUAAUAAAAAAGAUGCUUAACAAAAUAUAAGUUACCUCGAAAAUGUGCUUUUUAGGUUUUUUUUUUUUGUUGAUCAACCAAGUAUGGUAAAAUUACUUUUUUUAGGUGUAAUAUAUCCAGGCAUCAGCUUUUCAGAAAAUAUAUUUCAGUAAAAUAAAUUCUUCCCACGAAUCGAAUAAAUCCUUCAUGAGAGCAAACGGUGGGAUGGCAUUCUAGACAUAAUUUUUUUUUUUCAAACUAAAUAAUAAAAAUGUAUGCAAGAAAAGUUGAAGUGCAUUUUCAAAGACACGUCGUUAUUGUUUUCAAAAAAGACAUGUAGAAAUUCUAAUACACCGUAGGUUUCUUGUAUCUAGAUGACAAUAUACUAGAUAUGCCUAAGGUUCGAAUAAAAAUGAUUUAUGUUAUAAUAUGUGGUAAACGAGUGCCAUGGAAAAGUAGAUCCAACUCUUACUGAAAUGCUGAGACUCCUCGCCUCGUUAAAUUUAAGGUAUGAGUGUGAUAGACAACGAUUGCGCAUUAUUACAGGGGACCACGAGAAUGGAGAUUGGAAUUGAAUGCUCAUGUAAGAGCUCUAAAUGAUGCAAACAAAUAAGUUUACUGGGAAUCUGCCAUUAGAGACUUAUUAAGAGUAGACCUUGGAAGGCCGCUGUUAUUGUCAUGCGCGGAAACCCCACAUUCGAUACCAAAUCGGCCUGGAGUUGGAGUUUGUCCGGCCCCUUCCGCAACUAGCUCCCGCGUCGUCGAUCAGCUGUUUAUUCAUGGACAGCAAACAGCCAUGUUUGGUUUUUUUUUUUUUUUUUUUUUUUUGCUUGGGCCUCCUCGAACACCAAACAGCUGCUCCGAGAGCGAGACCCACCUUGGGGCGUUCGUUCGCAAAGAGCCGGAAAAGGAGAGUUUGUUUCCUAUUUACCACAAACAAAAAAAAAAAGAAGAGAAUUUCCUCUUGACCGUUGCGGGGGCUCCAACGGUAAAACGACAACCGAAGUCUCUCGAAAGAAGUAGCCGUUGGACGUGAGCGACACGUGUCGCGCUCUUUGGCGCGUUCACGGUUCUACUUUUACCCGCGACGGCAAAGCACGGAGAGGCUGCGACAAACCUUAGAGUUUGCUGUUACGGGACGAACAGCAAACACGCAGCUGUGGUCCGGUGCGGUGGUUUCGGAUUCGUUCGCGAGGACCUUCUGUGCUGACGAGAUAGACGACAGCGACAGCUCACCGCCAGACAUCUAAACAGCGACAGCAUGCCUGGGCCCGCACACUAACUUUCUGACCAACCACGAUAUGCCACGUUUCUGAAUUGCGGCCACUCAUUUGGUGGGCUCGUGGGCCAGUUCGAGACCUCGCUUACACUGGUGGUAAGUGGUACACGAAAACUUUACAUUCACGGAUAAGAUCGGCCGGACCGUUGGGUUUCUUCGAACUCGGGGCUCUAGGUGUACGUUGGACACUUAAAUACCUUCGAGCGUGAUCGCCGUUCGCUUACAUCUCAACGGUCGUUGGCGAGAUGGUCCAACGGCUGGGUAGGUCGGAGCGCACGGAUGGGGUAUAUUUCGAGCUGGCUGGAUCAUUCUCCCCUACUGCCACGGUCCACCACAAGUUGUGUACAAAUCGGCGCCUUGUGCCAGCUCCAUAUGUGUUCGAUUGGGUAGUAGAAUGCUGCCACGUGUCCGAAAUUGCUUCCCUGGAACCCAACCUGGCCUAACAGCAGUACCGUGCCCUAUUUGCGUCCCUUCAAUCCAGAGAGGUGGGUUGGAGCCCGAGCCCUCUGUUUCCUGGACCCAUGCGCACGUUACGUGGAACCCAUUACGAGUCCAACAACUACCGUCGACUUUUGAAUGAGCGGUGGCGAUUCAUUCGAUCAGAGCACGGCCGUGGAAAGGUUGGAAGCGGUGGGAUUUUAGAUGCCAGGCAGAGACGACGGAUCUGAUCUUCUCCUCCGUCUCAUCUCGCCCGCUUUCCCCACCAUGAUUCAUGAUAUGAUCACAUGGUCUCGCUGUAACCGGGGCCCACACCAACCUCGCCUCUCUCUCUCUCUCUCUCUCUCUCUCUCUCUCUCUCUCUCUCUCUCUCUCUUCUCUCUACUACUACUACUANNNNNNNNNNNNNNNNNNNNUCUCUCUCUCUCUCUCUCUCUCUCUCUCUCUCUCUCUCUCUCUGUUCGUCCUUUCAUCAAGCAUCACAACAAAAAGUCCCCACAAUCAUCUGGAAAAUAAGCUCCACUGCCUCCGUUGGAGAUAAGGGACUCAUUUGGCUAAUAAACCAUUUUGGGUCACCGUAGAUCACUCUUUAAUUUAAUACAUGAGCUAGGACAUGAUGUUGCUUUAAAACAAAAAAUUCUAAAGAAAGCCUCCCUUUGGCAGACCACUACUUAUCCAUAAAUCCCCCACGACCCCCCUCGCUUCCUCGUUGUAAAAAGAGAGCAAGAGAGUAGAAAGAUAAAGAAGAGAAGUCUGAGCAAGAAAGGAGGGGAGAGAGAGAGAGAGAGAGAGAGAGCGAUGUCGAAGGAGGUGAGCGAGGAGGCGGAGCAAGCGCCGGUGAAGGACUACACCGAUCCGCCGCCGGCGCCUCUGCUGGACAUGGGAGAGGUCCGGCUGUGGUCCUUAUACCGGGCCGUGAUCGCCGAGUUCGUGGCCACCCUCCUGUUCCUUUACGUCACCAUCGCCACCGUCAUCGGCUACAGGGUCCAGUCCCAGAACGACCAGUGCGGCGGCGUCGGCAUCCUUGGCAUCGCCUGGUCCUUCGGCGGCAUGAUCUUCAUCCUCGUCUACUGCACCGCCGGCAUCUCCGGUUAGCCUCUCUCUCUCUCUCUCUCUCUGUGUGUGUUUUUAGUUUCACUUUACUUGACGUUCUUUAUACUGACCGACCAUGUUUAUUGUCUUCCAAAUAAAUAAAUAAAAUAAAAGGGGGUCAUAUCAACCCGGCGGUGACGUUCGGGCUGUUCCUGGCGAGGAAGGUGUCGCUGGUGAGGGCUUUGCUGUACAUGGUGGCGCAGUGCCUGGGAGCCAUCUGCGGGGUGGGCAUCGUCAAGGGGAUCAUGAAGCAACCCUACAACUCUUAUGGUGGAGGCGUCAACGUGGUCGCUUCCGGAUACUCCAAGGGCACCGCCCUCGGCGCUGAGAUCAUCGGCACCUUUCUCCUCGUCUACACCGUCUUCUCCGCCACCGACCCCAAGCGCAACGCCCGUGACUCCCACGUCCCGGUCCGUACUCUACUAGCUGGCUAGCUAGCUAAGUAGCACCAAAUUAGCAGCCCACUCACCUUUCUUGUUUCCUUCUGCUAACCUUUUUUUUUGUUUUGGUUUUUGCUACCCUUCUGCAUGCUGCUGCUUGUAUUAUGUAGGUCUUGGCUCCACUUCCAAUCGGGUUCGCAGUGUUCAUGGUGCACCUGGGCACCAUUCCCAUCACCGGGACCGGCAUCAACCCGGCCAGGAGCUUGGGACCUGCCGUCAUCUUCAACCAGGACAAGGCCUGGGACGACCAGGUAAUAAUGAUUGAUAUGAAAACCAGUUGUUAUAUUACAGGUUAUAAUUAUCUGGACUCAGUUUUGAAUUACGUUCUAUUUCUGUUGGUGGGUGUCGCAGUGGAUCUUCUGGGUGGGACCGUUCGUGGGGGCGUUGGCCGCGGCGGCGUACCACCAGUACAUCCUAAGAGCGGCGGCCAUCAAGGCGCUGGGAUCGUUCCGGAGCAACCCCCGCAACUGAGCUUGGAAGGAGUAAUUAGUAAAGUUACCAGGAAAAGAGGAGGUGGUGGUUGAGAUGGGUGUAGAAGAAGGCUCGCUCUUUCUUUCUCCUUUGAUCUGCUGUGUAUGUGAGAGAGGAGAGACAGAGACAGAAGAAGGGAGAGAGUUGUUGUUGGUUUCACUUUACCUUCUUUUUCUAGUUUCCUUUUGUGCUUAUCUCCGUCUGGUGUAACGUAAUGUAAGGGUGGGUGGAUGUGUGUUUCAUUUGUUGGAUUAAGUCGGGGAAUUAAAUUAAAUGGUCUCUGUUGUUCUCCUGUUGCUGUUAUUCUUUUCCUACUUUGAUGAUUCUAUUAUGUCCACUAACCAUUCUUUAUCCAGAACAUUCCAACCAAGCACUAACUUAACCGCGUUCCCUAUAAUAUAUGUAUAUGUUUUUUCUUGGCUAAUGCACCAACUUUAUCCAAUCCCUCCUCCUUUUCCAAAAGCCCCUCCCCGUUUUCUUCAUCAUGCCUUUAGCGGGGGUAAAUAGCAUAAUUUUAAUGAGUAAAGCUGGUGGUAACUGGACUUGGAAUCCUAAGUAUUUUGAGAGAUGAAAGGAAAAAAAACGUGGAAUUCGGACCGGGGGCCAGGCUGUAAAGCUUGUCGUGACCUUGGGAGGGUGGGGUCCGUCCGGGGGGAAGCGUGAGAAAAGGCGAGGGGAACGCGUGGGGUGGAGUGGAUGGCACGGCUGCUUUUGCUGCGGCUGCGAGCCUGGAAAGCAGGAGGAGGAGGGCGCGGUCUCCCACCGAAGGCCCGGCUCUUUCCCAUCGGUUUACUGCCGCUUGAAAUCGUUACCGAUCACGUGGGCGCAGCAGUUAAAAGCGAGAGCAGCUGGGGGGCAUCCCUCUCUCUCUCCUCGUGAUUCGUGUUCAGUGUUUCUUAAGGAUUGAUGGGCGGCGAGUAAGGGGAGCUGGGGUUUGGUAAAUGGUGGGCCAGCAGGCGCAUUGGGGAUGACAUUAAGUGAAGAGAUGGAAGAGAAGAGUGCUCCGAAAGAAGACAAAAUUGAUGAAUUGAUGGGAGCAGGUUAAGAUGGGACCAUUCGAAACAGCAAAUGAUAACGUUCGGAUCGUAGCGUGUGAUUGAGAUGGAGAGCUCUGUUGCUGGUUUGGUUGCAGUAUAUGUACUGCGCGGCAGCAUGUGAUUGAGCAAUUGUUGAAUGUAAAUUUGGGGGAAUAUCCAUGUCAGAGGACGGACGUUGACUGGCGCUGGCUCAAGGAUGGCAAGUGAAUAGAGGCCAGAAAUUUAAGCAAAAAAAAUGUGAAUAGAGGCCAGAAAUGCCAAGACCUGACCCAAAAUAAUUAGUCGAAACAGUUUCUAAGUUUAUCAGAUAUAUUCAGCACAGAUCCUCAAGUAUAUAUUUGAGGAUCUUUUGUUCAUAUAAAUUAUGGACCAAAUCUAAUUUGAUACUAUUUAUAAUAGCUAAAGACCUCACUCAAAAAUACUAAUUAAAAGAUAUAUUUUAAGAUAGAUACUUGGUGUUGAGCAUAUAUGAUUCUAAGAAAACUCCUCUCAAAAGUUAAGUUAUUUUUAGGUAUUACAUGUAUUUUAGAAGACAAACAACGCAGCAGAUUAGGUCUCCUUCUUUCUUGCUCGGCACUCUGAAGAGAUCACAUCCAUAGGAGACACCUUCUUUCUUGUACUUUUUACUUUAUCUUGGUUUGACAGGAUAUACUCCCGAUAGAUCUAUAUAAAUUACUGUUUUCACCAAAAAAAAAUAAUUAAAAAAUAAUUUUUUAAAUUUUUAAAUUUUGUAUAAAUAUGUAAAUUUUUUUCAGCAAAUAAUCGCCAUGAAACUAAACACAUAUCCGUAUAAAUUCUUAUAAUUUUUUUUGCUGAGACGCACUUAAAACAGCUAUAUUUGAGAACAAUUGUAUCACGUGUAUAUCGAGAUGUGACGGAGGGCAUAUGUGGUUGGAAGAAACUUGAAUUGCAGCAGAUCAUCAAAUCUUUUUUUCUAAUUAUUAUGGUGGACCCCAGGGUUAACAUCAUCGACCAGGAUAACCCAAAGAUUAUAACUAAUUUAUCUAGUUUGGCUUAGAUUACAUUAUUGUUAGCAUAAGUAAUAGAUGCGGUCAUGAUCAGCCAUAACAAAAUGUUGAGAAUAAGCAAUCCGGAAAAUAAAAAAAUGCUAUCAUUUUUAAUUAAGCCCUCUAUAAGCUACAAUCCAUGUUAAAUUAUUCCAACUGUGAUAGCAAGUCCACUAUUAAUACUAAACUGUGGGAUAACGACUGGAGAUUGGACCUGGAAUUGGAUUGCUGAGGAUAUAAUUUUGCGGAUGGGAUUUAGAUUGAGCUUUGAAUAUGAGGGAUACUGUUCCAGUCAGAAAUAGUUAGAGCCAAAUGGGACUCCUCAUCUUAAGAUCAUCCUCCUUGCUAAGUUUUUUUUUGGUACAUCGGCUGCUCAUACUGCUCUCGCAUGAGCAUAACCAGCUGCAUCACUAGCAAUAAGACUACAUAAAGCAUAAAGAAUAGAAGACAGCUAGGUACAGAGGACAUAUUUCGAAUGAUGAGCAGCAAAUGAAGCGAUCCAAUCUGAUUUAUCUCUCAAAAAACGUGCCUGUCAAGUCUCAAGGUCAUUCUUAUAUCAUUGUUAAGCUUUUUAGUUUUACAUCUCCGGUGCCGGGUCUCUCGUCUCCAGGACGUUCUGACUCGAUGCUUAUUUGCUUCCCACCUAACCUUUUUUUGUUAAUCUAGACCAUCCUUUUCCAAAGUAGUUUUCUUUUAUGUGAAAAAGAUAAACUAAAAUAUAGUCAGAAAUUUUCAUCCCUCAUCAAACACCAGACAGCAUCAUACAUUUUUAUAGAAAAACAAAAGGUUUCUUAUCCUGCAGAAAAAGACGGUGGCAUUUGGCAUCAAUGAGGUAAGGUGAAUAAAUCGAAAUAUAAAAAAAUUUUAUGGCAAGCAAAAAAAUAAAAAGGAAGAAAAAUAAAAAUAAAAUAUGUAAUAUUUACAUAGUUUGAUUUAUCCAUCUAAAUUUAUGGGCAAAAAUAUUGCAAAAGCUUCACUAUAAAAAUUAAAGAUUACAGAAUAUACGAUUUUUUCACAAUUCUUAACUCCCAAUACAUCCGAUCUCUAGAAUACUCGAUUGCCCUCUUUUUUUUUUAGCAUUACAAAUAAAAUAUAUAAUAGAGUAAGUCAAUUCAAACUUGAACUAGUAUCCUAUAAUAAUCAGAUUAGCCUGAUCCUAUCUGGUUGACAGAAGCUCCAUGCCCCUUGUACCCCUCGGUUAACUAUUCGUAUGGCUCUAAUAAAACUUGUGGUGGCAUAUAGGAUCUUUUUCUGACAUGAAGUUUGUGCUUGCUGAUAAGCUCCGUUAGAAAAAAAAGUUUUUUUGGAGUGAGAUUCUACGUUGUGACAAAUGAUAUCACAGUAAAUUCGACUUAUAACGUAUAUGAACUCGGAGACAAGGCAACUAAUCUAGAUUGAAUUUGUGGUACUUGUGAUUGAAUUUAAAUUGAUUUGAACUGUUAGCCUGCAAAGAAGCUAGAGCUUGAACAAUAAAAGUAUGUGAGGAUCUGUGCGGGCAUAUAUUCAGUUACAUAUCUAUUAUGCACUGAAUAGAUUUUGAAUAUUUAUAUAAGAUGGGCCUAGCAAGCGAAUAUAAUAUCCUUUAUUGUUCGUUAACCCUAGCAAGCUAAUAUAGCUAACCAUGCUGGAAGCUCAGGUACGAUGGCAGUGCUCGGCGGGUAAAACUUUUUCAUCCGCCGAGGUUGGAUCUUCCUCUAUUUUCCCUUCACUCGAUACAAAUAGCCUAAAACAGGGUCCUUUAUUUUCCCUCUAUUUUCCCAGAGAGAUUUUGGUUGUUAUCUUCAUAAUUAACUCUGCAACGCAAAGAGGUAAGGAUUCUAUAUCAUAUGCAGACUAUCAAAUAACAGUGUGAGCUCAAGUACCCAAGCGCUUGAUUUCAAAUAAGGUUGGCAGCUUUCUGCAAAUAUAGACACUUCUUCUUUUUAGAAAAUCAAUGAUUAGCUUCUAUUCUUAACAAGAAUCGCGUUCUUCAGGUAGAUGUAUAUUUUAAAAUAAAGCUUGUAGUGUUAGAGGGUGUUCUUAUGAUAAGCAAGAAUAUUGCUUUUCUAAAUCCACCGCUGAGCGAUCCAACCACGAAGCAACAUGCACACAAAUGGAUGAAACAGAAAAGAGCGGCAAUACAUAUGCUUCCAUACAUGUGCUUUAUAGUUGAACUGGUUUAUUUGCUAAGCGGUGGAUCUGAUCCAACUAAAAAUUAUGCCAUCUCUAGGCAGGUUAAAUGCCAUGUAUGGCCAGUAGAAACUGUCCGGCUAGGUUAUAUAUGGCCAACAGGAUCAAACUAUUCUCCCCAGCAAGUGCAGCAAACCUCCUUCCACCAAGAAUAGCAUUCUCAUUGUUUGACCUUGUGUUGAAAACUUUGUUGUUAACUAUUAUCGCUACAAUAAAGCGUAAAAUGCCAAGAAAAACAAAAAGAAAUAUCGAGACAUACAAAGAAUUAUGUGAUAGUGGAUCUGAUUUUGCAAUAUUAUCUAAAAAAAUGUGAACUUUUUUCUUUUCUUUUUUUUUGUUGUUGUUGUUGUUGAAGAUGGGAGGCUAGAACUAUCUCACUGCUACCCUGCUAGCUACUUGAACAGUCCGAUAUCUGUUGCUCCAAAGCCCACUUCGCGCGUUGUGUGUUCGUGGCCCAGCCCAUUAGGUACGAGGUGCAAAUGCAAUACAUUCAUGGAAAACAACCGAGCAAGAGGAAGAUAUCUUUUGAUGCAGAUGCCUUCGGCAUUUUUAAAAGUAUACGAUUAGAUGAUCUUAGAGCCAAAUGUAGAAAUGAUUCGCUAAUUCUUAAUAUUUUAGAAGGUCACCAAGAGUUUCAUAGUGGAAGUGGAAUCUAAACUUUAAAAAAAUGAAGGUCUCGCUAUGUACACCCCAAGAUGGCUCAAAAGCUUCGUAACACCCCAAGAUGGCAACGUAAAGAUCUCGAGGAUCGUCCGACUCGGAAAAAGUGGCAGUGGUGCUUGAUACAAACUCGGCUUGUGAAGCGAUGCUUUAUUAUCAGAAAGAAAUUAAGUCCUCGCAGCUGACACUGCCAUAAUUUAUAUCAGCAAGAAAACUUGCCGGGAGUUCUGCAGACAUAUGAUCAAGAAGGGUGCCGCAUGGCUGACCCAUAUGACUGAACAUAGCCCUCAAAGCUUUUAGGGAUGAGGAACACUAGAUUGAAUGUUGCUCCCACUUGAAGGUCACCUGAGAGUUAUUCAAAUUGCCAGCUACCAAUCAUGUGAAAAAGUUCCGAGUGCAUGCUUUUAACAAAGGGAGACCCCACCGAUACUGCAGGUCAAUGAACAGUACCAUAACAUGCUAUCAAGGAUGUGAUGCCCACUUGUGCAAAAUAAAAGGGUACACGACUUUAAAAAGAUGCUUAGCUUGCGCGUGCCGGGGUGUGAUUGUCCAUGGUUAGAGAGGUGGGCAGACUACGGGCCGGCGCUAAGGCUUUUAUGUUGUAUUUUGCUUUUUGAUUUUGUUGGCCAUAUUCAUACCCGUCGUGUGUGAACAGCCGAUGUACCAAAAAAAUCGAAUCCCAUGUUGGUGGCAUUUGAUAUGUAAAUGAGACUUUGGGGAAAUGGAAGAGCUUAAUAGCCUAGUUUACCAUGUGUUAAAGGUGAAGAAGAAGAGGUGGGAAAUGGGGCACCUUGAUUCAGGCUUUGGUCGUGGUACCGACCCGAGACGACAGGAGAAGACGGUAGGUAUAUGAAAAGCAAGAAGGGGAAAAGCUGACAUUAGGCCACACCGAAUUCCAGUACUGAAUUAUGCUGGCUUAAGGCUGGCGACCGUCUUUUAACGUUAGUUCCAUGAAACUUCUUCAUAUCCCAUUUUGCUUCCGGGAUGCCAUCAUAAUCUCAUUCACAGGCAGCUAGCUUGCAAAGAACCAGCAUCGUCUCUUUGAUCCAUAAACCUGAAUUAUUACCAUCACAGACUUUGGAGCAUAAACGUGCUGCAGUGAUUACUUGUCAUUGCAUUACGUUUUCCAUCAAUCCUGCAAUCUUCAGGAUUUCGACAUCCUUUCCUCCAUUUCAUGAACCGUUCUUCUGAAUAGAUGAUGCAGCCUGCUGCGUUCCAGAACCGUAAUAGGAGCCUCAACGACGAUGUGGUAGAGAUGGCAGUAGCAUACCGAGCUGCUUCCCGUCCUGGUGGGAUCUGGUUCACAACGAACUAAUACAAUACAUUCAGCGGAACACCCUGUAUGCAUUUACCCUCAACUCGACAAAAUCUCAUGAACCAUGAAAUGGAAGAGAUAUUAGAUUAGUACUAGUAAACAAAAAUGAUAAACCAAUAGGAUUAUUCCAAGCAAUGACCAGCAUCAUCAUGGUCAUCAUCCAAGCCCUUCUAACAAUCAAAAAGCAGUCUUUUCCCAUCAAAAUGUAUUAAAUAAUUCCAAUCCAAGAAGCCAGCCAAUCUAUGUGCCGCCUCAUUUUAGCAAAGUAGAUCCAGAAGUAAUAUAAAUUAAGAAUCCAACUUGUACGCUCUGAAACACAGAUCAAUGCAUCCUGACUACUGCAAAUUAGAAACAACGAAGAGAGAGUAAUGGCAAAAAAGUAUUAAACAAUCUCCACUUGGAUUAUCCUCGCCAACCAAAGGAGCUCGAGGAACCUGUGUGCUCAAACGAUGUAGCAUCUAACAAAGUCGUCAUCAGAACUCAUCAUCAUCUUCCUCGGCGAUAUGCUUUGCAAGCUCCUGUUCCUGCUGUUGCCUCUCCCUCCUCUUCUCUGCGCUUUCUUUCUCCUUGUGGGAGUUGGGUGGGAACCUCAGUGCCCUCACUGCUUCAUUGUGCAUGUUCAGGCAGAAGACAAUCCUGGAAUUGAAAGCAAUCUGUGGUUCGUUAGUAGAGUAGACGUCACCAGUCUCUUUAGAAACCAUCCACCCAUUUGCAUGAUCUAUGAUCGCAUCAACUGCCCCAUCUCGGAUGGCCUUGGCUACUAUGCUCUCAGCAUCGGCCACAGGAUUCUGAGAGUCCAAUCUCAACUUCCUGGCUACAUCAGCCAGAGAUAUGCGGGAAUACGAGAUGCUGAUAUUGCGGAGCCCAGUUCUUAUCACAUUGUGCCGCAGUCUCACGAUCAGAUUAUGCGUCCUGUCUGAGUUGAAUGUCCCAGAAAACUUAUCUGCAACAGUCCUAAACAACUCCAAGUCCCCAAUUUGAACAGCCUAAAAUAAGGAAAAAGAAAGAAUCUAAAAACCGUAGACAUGAUGAACAUUGUUUUUAAAAUAAUACAAAAUACUCACAUUUGUAAGCUCAAAGUAUGGUGUCAAAGCCUUCUUCAUGCCUUCCUGCAUAAAAACAGUUCUCUCAGGAAUCUCUCCAAGAAGUAAGCGGACAAUGACAGCCCACUUGUUGCAUUGGAUUCGGAAGCCUCGAGCUGCAACUGGUGCCUUCCGAGCAGCUUGCAAUAGACUCUCUUUGGCAUCUGUAUACUCCAACUGAAUGGUUCUGAUCUUUCCUAAAUAGAACAGGUACCGAGAAAACUGCAAGAAAAUUCCUAGCGUUAGCAGUCACUGGAAAAUCAAACCAUACUGCUUUCUGUGCUAAUGGCAUAGCCUAGAUAAUAAUGCUAGCUAACUUUUCCCUAUGACUACCUGUCUUAGCAGAAAAACUAUACCAAAACAACAAAUACUGGCGACGUUUUUUUCCCAAACAACCAUGAGAUGAUCCAACCAAAUUUGAAAAUGGAAAAAAAAAAAAAUCCUAGGAAAGAUGUUAUGCCUGUUGAUUUGAAUGUGCCUCAAAACGUGGUGCUUUCGACCUUAGCUUCUCUGCCUGGUCAUAUAGGUUGUAGUGGAGGUAAUUGCGAAGCAGAAGGUUCAGAAGAGUUUCCUGCAUGUCAACAUCAUGAAAAGCUAGUACCUUCCAUAUGUCUGAAUAUAUAAGAAAAUAUAAGAAACAGACCUGACCCAACUCAUCACGUCGUAAGGUUGCCAUUCUGUGCAGGGAAAGGAGGGUCCUGACAAGGGGUGAAAGAAAAUAUUUUAUUCUAAUAUCAUCUUCCUAAGGCAUUUCACAAAACAGAAAUUAGAUUGGCUCAUGAUGACAUCUAUACUUGUUUAUUUAAUAUAAAGCUCACCCGCGAAUUUCAGCAAGAUUAUUUGUAAGUUCAUAACUAUAAGAAUAAUAGAAGUACAGCCGAGAUGCUAGAACAUCAACUGUUCUUCUAUUAAUAUUCUUCAGGCGAGCAAUGCUAGAAGAGGAACAAGCUUUAGCCUGCAAGAGAAAACAUAUUGGAAAAGUGAAAUAACAUAUCAAUUUCAGUUCCAGUAAGGAUAUUAAAGCAACCAUCAAUUAUAGAAAAUUACCUCAUUGUAUCUCUUUUGGUCAAUCAGAAAUAUCAAAACAAGCAAGUAACAGUAGAUUUCAAGCUCCGGCAGAGAAUACUUAGCAAGACCCUGAGCUGCUGAAGUUGCUGUAUCCACAUCCAUAUCACGUUCCUCAUCCUAAAAACAAUCUCAUAUAAAUUUACAAAAGUUUCUAAACAUGCAGAUAAGCAUAAAACAUGAGCAUAAACAGUAUAAUAUUCAGCUGGAUAAACAGUACAAUCCAUUAAUCAAAUCUCAUGAGAGGAGUGGCAUAUAAACAGAUGUACAAGUAAAAUAGUAAAAUAAGGCUGAUUGGAAGCAGCAGCUUUAAGUUUGACAUCAUGACCUGUACUUUGUUAGGAGGCCUUACAAGAAAACUAAAAGGUUGAAAUGUUCGGUAUCAGGCAAUGCAUGAAGGGAUCUUGGGGUAUUAUGAUCCAAUAAAGGAUGCUAAGAAUAAACAAAAACAUAACAAUGAAGUUAAAUUAUCUACUUAAGAAAUUUGAUGCCCAUACUCAUGGCAGUCAUCUGCUGUAUGGUAUCAUUAGAGGAGGGUGACGCAAUGGUGCUUUGUAAGGGUUACAUAAAAAAUAUGGGGUAUCACUAUAAUUUCCUGCAAAUCUCACGCAAAUCCGCCAGGUACAAUAUAAAAUAUCAUUACAACAAAUCAUUGAGAUAAAGCAAUUUGUUGAAGUUAUUUAUAGAAGGCUAUGAGUUAAACAUGGUAAAUGGAAAUAUAUUUUAUUUUGGAUCGAGGAGCCUCUGGGCCCUCCAGAUCACAGUGGUGAGUUCUGCAUUCACAAACAAUUUGGCUAGAGGCAGAGAUCCAGAAUUCAGACAAAGUGCAAACUACUCACCCAUAGAUCUGGAAGAAGUUGGAUGGUAAACAUUGAAAAAGAGUUCUAGCAAAAAAUAAAAUGCUAAUGUAUAUGCCCAUGUGGAAAAGACAGAACAGUGAACUAUAGGAAAAGACCACCAUCACCAGCAACUUGUAACAUGAUGAAUCUGUGCAGGCCACCAUCUAUACAUAUAUUUAAUCCUUUUUUUUUUGAUGCCGCAGAUAAGAAAAAGAAAAUGAGAACAUAGGUACACAUUCUCCUAGACUGAAAGCUGAUUCCACUUAUAUAUUGCCAUAUAUGUGUAUAUCUCAAACAUCAUAAUCAAGACUUAGUUGCUGAUGCCCAUCAAAAUUAAACAUAUAUAUUUCU
RNAcentral lists this long non-coding RNA (35504 nucleotides) under Phoenix dactylifera (date palm). RNAcentral describes it as "long non-coding RNA (PDAC_LNC005476)". Lineage: Eukaryota; Viridiplantae; Streptophyta; Magnoliopsida; Arecales; Arecaceae. The record is from RNAcentral.